UUCUUGGUAGCUUAUGUAAAGCUUCGAGAUUUUAACUCGACUAAAACCUUUUAUUGUUCCAAGAGA
This 66-nucleotide transfer RNA is filed under the name Hoplopleura kitti. RNAcentral describes it as "tRNA-Lys". Lineage: Eukaryota; Metazoa; Arthropoda; Insecta; Psocodea; Hoplopleuridae. The record is from RNAcentral.